RNAcentral lists this ribosomal RNA (465 nucleotides) under uncultured bacterium. Its description in RNAcentral is "partial 16S ribosomal RNA". It matches the Rfam family "Bacterial small subunit ribosomal RNA", at positions 28 to 507 of the family's 1533-position model. The record is from RNAcentral.
GACGAACGCUGGCGGCGUGCUUAACACAUGCAAGUCGAACGGAAAGGCCCCUUCGGGGGUACUCGAGUGGCGAACGGGUGAGUAACACGUGAGUAACCUGCCCUUGACUUCGGGAUAACUUCAGGAAACUGGGGCUAAUACCGGAUAGGAAUCCUUGCUGCAUGGUGGGGGUUGGAAAGCUUCGGCGGGUUUGGAUGGACUCGCGGCUUAUCAGCUUGUUGGUGGGGUAGUGGCUUACCAAGGCUUUGACGGGUAGCCGGCCUGGGAGGGCGACCGGCCACAUUGGGACUGAGAUACGGCCCAGACUCCUACGGGAGGCAGGAGUGGGGAAUAUUGCACAAUGGGCGGAAGCCUGAUGCAGCAACGCCGCGUGCGGGAUGACGGCCUUCGGGUUGUAAACCGCUUUCAGCAGGGGCGAAGCUUGUGGUGACGGUACCUGCAGAAGAAGCACCGGCUAACUACGUG